GGGCCCGCACAAGCGGUGGAGUAUGUGGUUUAAUUCGAUGCAACGCGAAGAACCUUACCAGGGUUUGACAUCCUGCGAAUCUCUUGGAAACAGGAGAGUGCCUUCGGGAACGCAGUGACAGGUGGUGCAUGGCUGUCGUCAGCUCGUGUCGUGAGAUGUUGGGUUAAGUCCCGCAACGAGCGCAACCCACGUCUUUAGUUGCCAGCAUUUAGUUGGGCACUCUAGAGAGACUGCCGGUGAUAAACCGGAGGAAGGUGUGGAUGACGUCAAGUCAUCAUGCCCCUUACAUCCUGGGCUACACACGUACUACAAUGCUACGGACAAAGGGCAGCUACCGGGUGACCGGAUG
Molecule: ribosomal RNA, 349 nt
Filed under: uncultured bacterium
Lineage: Bacteria
Description: bacterial SSU rRNA
Rfam family: Bacterial small subunit ribosomal RNA
Source: RNAcentral